This 3033-nucleotide ribosomal RNA is filed under the name metagenome. RNAcentral describes it as "bacterial LSU rRNA". It matches the Rfam family "Bacterial large subunit ribosomal RNA". The record is from RNAcentral.
AGGGCGCAGGGCGGAUGCCUUGGCACCAGGAGCCGACGAAGGACGGGGUAAGCGCCGAAACGCUACGGUGAGCCGCAAACAGGCCUUGACCCGUAGAUUUCCGAAUGGGGCAACCCACCGCAGGUAAUGCUGCGGUACCCUUAAGUGAAUUCAUAGCUUAAGGGAGGCAUACCGGGGGAACUGAAACAUCUAAGUACCCCGAGGAAAAGAAAGAAAACAUUCGAUUCCCUAAGUAGCGGCGAGCGAACGGGGAUAAGCCCAAACCCAGCACUUAACCGAGCGUAUAAGUAAUGAUACGGCUAAAGCGCGUUAUAGGCGUGUAAAAGCCAAGUCAAAGCUGGUACGCUGCGUUAAGUGCUGGGGGUUGCGGACCGGCGACAGAUAUCUUUUUUAUCUAGCCGAACCGGCUGGGAAGCCGGACCAAAGGGGGUAACAGUCCCGUAGGCGAAAGUUAAAAAAGGUUAAGCCGUGAUCCAGAGUACCACGGGGCACGUGCAACCCUGUGGGAAGCAGGGAGGCCCACCUCCCAAGGCUAAAUACUACCUGGUGACCGAUAGCGUAUAGUACCGUGAGGGAAAGGUGAAAAGAACCCCGGGAGGGGAGUGAAACAGAACCUGAAACCCUGUGCUUACAAGCAGUGGCAGCCCAACGCACUUAAGCUCGCUUAAGUGCUGGGUGGCCGCGUACUUUUUGUAGAACGGACCAGCGAGUUAUGUACCGUUGCGAGGUUAAGGGCUAAAGGCCUGAAGCCGCAGCGAAAGCGAGUCUAAAAUGGGCGAAAUUAAGUAGCGGUGCAUAGACCCGAAACCGGGUGACCUACCCAUGGCCAGGGUGAAACGCAGGUAAAACUGCGCGGAGGCCCGAACCGUGUUACCGUUGAAAAGGUAUGGGAUGAGCUGUGGGUAGCGGUGAAAUGCCAAUCGAACCCGGAGAUAGCUGGUUCUCCCCGAAAUAGCUUUAGGGCUAGCCUCGGGCAAAAGAUACAUGGAGGUAGAGCACUGAAUGGGCUAGGGGCCCAAUAAGGUUACCGAACCCUAUCAAACUCCGAAUGCCAUGAUAUUGAUACCCGGGAGUCAGGCUGCGUGAGAUAAGUUGCGCAGUCGAGAGGGAAACAACCCAGACCACCGGUUAAGGCCCCGAAGUGCAGGCUAAGUGGUAAAGGAUGUGGGAUUGCAAAGACAACCAGGAUGUUGGCUUAGAAGCAGCCAUACAUUUAAAGAGUGCGUAAUAGCUCACUGGUCGAGUGGUCCUGCGCCGAAAAUUACCGGGGCUGAAGUCUGCCGCCGAAGCCGUGGCCCAGCACUUAACGGAGCGUAUAAGUAAGGGAUUAGCGAAUAACAUCUAAAUGAUGCUAAAGCAAAGCCUGGACUGGUAUGCUGCGUUAAGUGCUGGGGGUAGGGGAGCAUCCUUUGCGGUGCGAAGCUGUAUCGAAAGGGGCAGUGGACUGCAAAGGAGCGAGAAUGCUGGUAUGAGUAACGCAAGGUAGGUGAGAAUCCUACCCGUCGAAAGCCUAAGGUUUCCUGAGGAAGGCUCGUCCGCUCAGGGUAAGUCGGGACCUAAGCCGAGGCCAGAAGGCGUAGGUGAUGGACAACAGGUUGAGAUUCCUGUACCGCUUUAAUGCGCAAUAAGGGAAGCAGGGACACAGAAGGAUAGGCACAGCGCACCGUUGGUAGCGUGCGUCCAAGCGCGCGAUGGAGGCGGGAUAGUAAAGCACGUCCUGCCAUAGAUCCAGAGCCGUGAUGGGGAGCGAAAAUUAAAGUAGCGAACUGAGCUGAAUUCACGCUGGCUAGAAAAGCUGCUACCGAGUAUUAAAGCGCCCGUACCGCAAACCGACACAGGUAGGCGAGGAGAGAAUCCUAAGACGAGCGGGGAAACCCCUGUUAAGGAACUCGGCAAAAUGACCCCGUAACCUCGGGAGAAGGGGUGCCUGGGUAGGGUGAUUGUAAACGUACAAGAGCCCGAGCAGGCCGCAGUGAAUAGGCCCAAGCGACUGUUUAUCAAAAACACAGGUCUCUGCAAAGUCGAAAGACGAAGUAUAGGGGCUGACGCCUGCCCGGUGCUGGAAGGUUAAGGGGACGGGUUAGCGGUUGAGAAACUGCGAAGCUCUGAACUUAAGCCCCAGUAAACGGCGGCCGUAACUAUAACGGUCCUAAGGUAGCGAAAUUCCUUGUCGGGUAAGUUCCGACCCGCACGAAAGGCGUAACGAUUUGGGCGCUGUCUCAACAGGGGGCCCGGUGAAGUUGUAGUACUCGUGAAGAUGCGAGUUACCCGCGAUUGGACGGAAAGACCCCGUGGAGCUUUACUGCAGCCUGGCAUUGGACUUUGGUGCAAUAUGUACAGAAUAGGUGGGAGGCUAGGAAGUAUGGACGCCAGUCUGUACGGAGCCGACUUUGGGAUACCACUCUUAUUGUGCUAGGGUUCUAACCAAGGUCCGUAAUCCGGAUCUGGGACAUUGCCAGGUGGGCAGUUUGACUGGGGCGGUCGCCUCCCAAAAUGUAACGGAGGCGCCCAAAGGUUUCCUCAGGGUGGUUGGAAACCACCCGCAGAGUGUAAAGGCACAAGGGAGCUUGACUGCGAGAGGGACACCUCGAGCAGGGACGAAAGUCGGGCUUAGUGAUCCGGUGGUACCGAGUGGAAGGGCCAUCGCUCAACGGAUAAAAGCUACCCCGGGGAUAACAGGCUGAUCUCCCCCAAGAGUCCACAUCGACGGGGAGGUUUGGCACCUCGAUGUCGGCUCAUCGCAUCCUGGGGCUGAAGUAGGUCCCAAGGGUUGGGCUGUUCGCCCAUUAAAGCGGUACGUGAGCUGGGUUCAGAACGUCGUGAGACAGUUCGGUCCCUAUCCGUCGCGGGCGCAGGAGGUUUGAGAGGACCUGUCCUUAGUACGAGAGGACCGGGAUGGACAGACCGCUGGUGCACCAGUUGUCCCGCCAGGGGCAUGGCUGGGUAGCUACGUCUGGAAGGGAUAAGUGCUGAAGGCAUCUAAGCACGAAGCCCACCUCAAGAUAAUACCUCCCACCCAGCACUUAACUUUGU